ACAACUUCUUAGCUCUAUAGAUCAAAACCAAGCCUUGACCUCGUCAAGGACUAACGUUAUGAGUUUGCUCAUACCAACGAUGGUCAUCUCGUUGAUGUCCUAAUACCUAAGAACUCACCGAUCACUCGAAGGUGCGGCCAGAGAUCUCAGCCUCGACCGCGUUCGGGUUCUCCAUUCCGUGCCGAACAGCCAGUAUGUCGAUAGCCUCGUCGGUCGUCCGAUAGGCAACGUAGUACCUGAAGGGCC
Molecule: transfer RNA, 246 nt
Filed under: Mycobacterium tuberculosis variant africanum GM041182
Lineage: Bacteria; Bacillati; Actinomycetota; Actinomycetes; Mycobacteriales; Mycobacteriaceae
Description: transfer RNA-Leu(GAG)
Source: RNAcentral